AUCAAAUAUAUCAGUUGCCGUUCCCUCUUUAUAGACAUUUCCUUUAUUCAUGACGAUAACAUG
RNAcentral lists this small RNA (63 nucleotides) under Staphylococcus argenteus. RNAcentral's name for it is "Staphylococcus sRNA sau-31". It matches the Rfam family "Staphylococcus sRNA sau-31". The record is from RNAcentral. Lineage: Bacteria; Bacillati; Bacillota; Bacilli; Caryophanales; Staphylococcaceae.